AUACGUAGGGUGCAAGCGUUAAUCGGAAUUACUGGGCGUAAAGCGUGCGCAGGCGGUUUUGUAAGACAGUGGUGAAAUCCCCGGGCUCAACCUGGGAACUGCCAUUGUGACUGCAAGGCUGGAGUGCGGCAGAGGGGGAUGGAAUUCCGCGUGUAGCAGUGAAAUGCGUAGAUAUGCGGAGGAACACCGAUGGCGAAGGCAAUCCCCUGGGCCUGCACUGACGCUCAUGCACGAAAGCGUGGGGAGCAAACAGGAUUAGAGACCCUGGUAGUCCACGCCCUAAACGAUGUCAACUGGUUGUUGGGGAUUUAUUUUCUCAGUAACGAAGCUAACGCGUGAAGUUGACCGCCUGGGGAGUACGGCCGCAAGGUUAAAACUCAAAGGAAUUGACGGGG
RNAcentral lists this ribosomal RNA (395 nucleotides) under uncultured bacterium. RNAcentral's name for it is "partial 16S ribosomal RNA". It matches the Rfam family "Bacterial small subunit ribosomal RNA", at positions 523 to 918 of the family's 1533-position model. The record is from RNAcentral.